UCCCCUGUGGCUCAGUUGGUAGAGCAUGGUGUUUGCACCGCCAGGGUUGUGGGUUCGAUUCCCACGGGGGAC
Salmo salar (Atlantic salmon) is the source of this 72-nucleotide non-coding RNA. The record is from Rfam. Lineage: Eukaryota; Metazoa; Chordata; Actinopteri; Salmoniformes; Salmonidae.